CGAAAGGAUAAAAACGUCAUGAACAGCCCGCUGGCAAAAAAUAACGCUAAUGCACUCGCUUUAUAUUAGUAAUAAUCCUUACCUUGGUGUAAAACGAGGCCAGUUAUAACAAUAAGCAGGGAUUUUAGGAGCAUGUUCUGAUCCUCCAUGAACGCGCUGUGCUUCGAUCAGGGGUGUAGGUGGACUGAAUGGUAGCACUCGUUAUCUUUCGUGAACAUACAAACAGCUUUGUCCUAGUUCUGAGUCACUCUGAUACGGAGAAACCUGACACGGUACGGGCUGGGCCCACUGACAUUCUCCAAAAACUGCCUCUUUCAGCCGGUCCUCUACACGCCGACGCUCUCCGUGAUUCCGUUUAACCUAUGCGGGGAAUUUCCACACUUUGUGGAAUGUCGGAAAGAUACCAAUCAGGGCAAUUCACCGGGAAUUAGUG
Pelobates cultripes (western spadefoot toad) is the source of this 433-nucleotide non-coding RNA. The record is from the annotation of a GenBank genome assembly. NCBI's taxonomy places the organism in Eukaryota, Metazoa, Chordata, Amphibia, Anura, Pelobatidae.